UUGGGUAGUUUAACAGUUAAACGCGGGUGAAAAGGACUGAUCCAUGCGUCAAGCUCUUAUUGGUUUUUUGUUCCCCGAUUCUAAGACGUUGGUGUUACGGCAAGAUUUUAUCGGCACCCCCACACCACAUCAACCCUAAAAAAGUUAAAAACAAUAAAAAGAAUUAAAUACUAAUAAAUUAAAAAAAUGACGUGUCCCCUGUUUUUCAUUUAUUAUUCAUAAAAUCUGUUCUUCUCCCACUCUCUUCCUCCAUUCAGUUCUUUCUCUUCACAAGUUUCCUCUCCCUUUAGGUUUCCUUUCCUUUGCUUCCAAAUCUAUCAGCUGAGGCCUCUUAGCCCCUGUUUGUAUGCUCUGAAGAUUGAUAGUGAUGAUGAUGGUGACAAUAUUGGCAGUGCUGAUGCUGAUAAAUGAGGAUGAUGAAGAGAUUUACUAGUUUUAGGUGUUGAUUGAUUUUCUGAAAGGGGAUUGACUGCUAUAUGGUUUUCAUUUUUUUGGUAAAUAAGCACAGUUUUGCAUUUGAAGCAGAUGGGUUGAAAGGGUUUGAUAGUUUAGAUUUCAGAGUAAUAUGGCUAUUGCUGGUCUGCACAACGUUUCUGUGCUUGAAAAUUCUUUCCUAAGGGAGUCUCAGUCUCAAGCAUCAAGAAGGCGGGGAAAUGGUAGUACCCGGCCAUCCUCACUCCUGCAGAUGUGGCGGGAGCUUGAGGAUGAGCAUGUGGUGAGUCAUGCUCAAGAGAGAACCAAUGAAAGAAUGCUCCAACGGAGGAGUAAUGACCUUCCCAUGACUGAUCUUUCUGAUAGUCGACAUAGUGAACAUAGUGGUGUUUCAGAGGAUGUGAGUGUGAGUGUGAGUGAGAAUGAGUUUGUACAAUGGUUACCAGAUCAAUUUGGAUUGCAGAAUGGGAGUGAGGAUUCAAGUAAUUUUGAUUGUGAACAUUCAUCUGAUUUGGGGGAAGUUGAAAGGGAAAGGGUAAGACAAAUAUUUCAGGAGUGGAUGAACAGUGGUGGAAGGGGAUGUACAUCUAAUGUUUCUGGUAGAAACAAUAGUUCAAGGGCCCAGUGGCUGGGUGAAACUGAGCAGGAGAGAGUCAGAAUUAUAAGGGAGUGGGUGCAAAUGAAUAGCCAGCAGAGAGGUUCUCUUACGGACAGUAGAGAAGAGCAAGCUGCUGAUGCUGGCGGUCAAAUAGAACGACUUCUUGAUGGUUUGGUGGUUAACCAGAAUGCAGGCCGGACCGAGCAUGUGCAUAGGGGUAUUCGAAAAUUAUGUGGCCGACAGGCCCUGCUUGAUAUGCUUAAAAAAGCUGAGAGAGAGAGGCAAACAGAGCUUCAGAGGUUGUUGGAGCAUCGGGCUGUAUCAAAUUUUGCCCAUCGCAACCGAAUUCAGUCUUUAUUAAGGGGUAGAUUCUUGAGAAAUGACAGAAUGGUUGAAGGUGACAGAUCUACUUCUAUUGCAGCCAGUGAAUUGGGCUUAUUAAGACAAAAACAGACUGUAUCUGGUCUAAGGGAAGGUUUUUUAUCCCGACUGGAUAAUUCGUGUUCUGGUCCUGCGAGCAGUAAUCGUUCAGAUAGAUCAUCUAGCGCUGACAGUGAUGGGAAUAGAAGUGAAGAAAACCGAGUAAAUAAUACACAUGAUGCAAUAGGUGGAUUAAAUGACCGAUCUGAAUGUGAGAAUGAGGAAACUGAUAAUGGGAGGUGUAUGAUUGGUACAACGGAUUUAGAGGUUGAAACUGAAGUAAGUCAGCAAGCAACUUCUGCUUGUUUAGAAGAUCAGCAGGAACAAGUUUCUGAGAGUGUAUUCAGUAUCUGGCAGGGGUCGGCCAGUGCUGAGUCUAAUGAAAGCAGAUAUGAUAUUGGACAAGUCUUUGAUGGGCCCAGGCAAGAAAGUCUUGCUGAUGAGUCGUCCCUUGAAACUUUGCAGAAUGAAGCUGGAGAACAAAGUAAUCUACAAGAAUCUGGUGAAGCAUCUUAUGAACGUUCUUUCCAAGAUGGUGAGAGAAGUAGGACCUAUUGGUUAACGAAUGUUGUACAAAAUGUAGAAAGGGUUCCUGUUGAUCAUAUCGAUGGCCAAGAACCUGCUUCUCAAGGUGAACAAUGGCAGGAAGAGGAUCAGGAAACUGAAGAUGCAGACUGGCAAGAAGCUAGUCUGGACCAUAACGAGUUGAUGGAUGAUCGUAAUGAAGAAGCCUCUGACAUGAAUCAUGAGGACGGUGAGAGUGAAAAUGGAGGUUAUGAUGAUAUGCAAGAAGCCCCUGAUGCACAACGUGAGGAUGGUGGCUUGCACGACACUAGACAAAAUUGGUUUGAAGGGUCUUACAAUCUACAAGCUGCCACCAUUGGAAGAACAGACACAUUUUAUCUUCCUGAUGAUGACAACGUACACAAUACUGAACUGAGGGAACUCUUAAGCAGGAGAAGUGUGUCUACCCUUCUUCGUAGUGGUUUUCGUGAGAGCCUUGACCAAUUGAUACAAUCAUAUGUGGAAAGGCAAAAUCAUGCAUCUGUUGACUGGGAUCUGAAUGAAGCAGCUCCUACUCCUGAAUCCCUUGAACAAGAUAUAGAACAGCAAAGCAGGGAUCAGAAUGAGGGUCAGAGUUCUCCAAUUGCUCCUUCUUCCCCCAGGAUGCCAUCUACGCAGCCACUCUGGGACCAGGAUUCUCACCACUAUAAUUGGCAACCACAUGAUGGGCAUCAGCGCUUUGGCAUUGAGUGGGAGAUAAUUAACGAUCUGAGGGUUGACAUGACAAGACUGCAGCAAAGAAUGAAUAACAUGCAGAGGAUGCUGGAGGCCUGCAUGGAUAUGCAACUUGAGUUACAGCGGUCAAUAAGACAAGAGGUUUCUGCUGCCCUGAACCGGUCAGCUGGUUCACAAGGUAUGAUUGAUGAUGACUUGCCUAAGGAUGCAUCAUCUAACUGGGAUAAUGUUCGGAAAGGAAUUUGCUGUAUAUGCUGCGAAAGCAAUAUCGAUUCAUUACUAUACAGAUGUGGACACAUGUGCACAUGCUUAAACUGCGCCACUGAGUUGGCUCAUGGUGGAGGGAAGUGUCCGAUGUGUCAUGCACCAGUAGUUGAGGUCAUCCGUGCUUACUCAAUCCAUUAAUAAAAGUUAAAGAAGAAAAGAAUCUGGAUUAACAAUUAUAGAAUCUUUCAUCCUCGCCAUCUCCAGGAAAUGAGAACUUAGAAUGCAAGGGCCUUUGUUAUUUUUUAAGGAACCCGACAGUUGUUUUAGCCCAAAAUAUACAAGAACGGUUCGACAUCGAUCCACCCGGUCAGCGGUUCAUGGUCUAAUCGCGAUUUUUAGUGCUUCACGAUCCAUCUGGUUUCUUUUUUACCUUACACUGCAUGGAUAUACCGAUCGAUUCUCGAUCCAACUAGUUCAAUUGGUUCGAUUCUGAAAACCAUCAAUUUAAUCAUUUAAUUUAUUAAUUU
Molecule: RNA transcript, 3423 nt
Organism: Gossypium raimondii (Peruvian cotton)
Lineage: Eukaryota; Viridiplantae; Streptophyta; Magnoliopsida; Malvales; Malvaceae
Exons: 10
Source: RefSeq, a predicted model, not a curated record